CAUAGCAAGUUAAAUGGCACUGUCAAAGCUGAGACUGGAAACCUGUGAUCAGUGGGAGGUACAUCUCCAUCUUACAGCACACAAGGCGGGUAAUGCUGGGGCUGAAUAUGUUAUAGAGUCCACUGGUGUCUUCACUACCUUAUAAGAGGCUGGGACUCACUUGUAGGAUAGACCCCAAGGUAUCAUCAUGUCUACCACUUCUGUGGUUGCUGCCAUGUUUGUGGUGGCAGUGAGUCAUAAGAUAUAUGACCACUCCUUCAAGAUUGGCAGCAGUGCCUCCUGCACCAGCAAACUCAUGGCCACCCUGGCCAAGGUCACCGUAGCAUUGAUGUUGUGGAGAGAUUAGUGACCACAGUCCAUGUUAUUACUGCCAUACAAAAACUUUAGAUAGCUCCAAUGGAAAAUUGGCAUGAUGGCUAGGGUUCCACCCAGAGCAUCAUCCCUGCAUUCGCUGGCACUGCCAAGGCUGUGGGAGGGUCAUCCCUGAGCUGAACAGAAAGUUCACUGACAUGACCUUCCAAGUACCCACCCAAAAUGUGAGAUCUGACUUGACCACUGGAGAAAGAUGAAAAAUAUAACAGCAUC
This 585-nucleotide long non-coding RNA is filed under the name Homo sapiens (human). RNAcentral describes it as "non-protein coding lnc-EVA1A-2:1". The record is from RNAcentral. Lineage: Eukaryota; Metazoa; Chordata; Mammalia; Primates; Hominidae.